GAUGAACGCUGGCGGCGUGCCUAAUACAUGCAAGUCGAGCGAACAGACGAGGAGCUUGCUCCUCUGACGUUAGCGGCGGACGGGUGAGUAACACGUGGAUAACCUACCUAUAAGACUGGGAUAACUUCGGGAAACCGGAGCUAAUACCGGAUAAUAUAUUGAACCGCAUGGUUCAAUAGUGGAAGACGGUUUUGCUGUCACUUAUAGAUGGAUCCGCGCCGCAUUAGCUAGUUGGUAAGGUAACGGCUUACCAAGGCAACGAUGCGUAGCCGACCUGAGAGGGUGAUCGGCCACACUGGAACUGAGACACGGUCCAGACUCCUACGGGAGGCAGCAGUAGGGAAUCUUCCGCAAAGGGCGAAAGCUUGACGGAGCAACGCCGCGUGAGUGAUGAAGGUCUUCGGAUCGUAAAACUCUGUUAUUAGGGAAGAACAAAUGUGUAAGUAACUAUGCACGUCUUGACGGUACCUAAUCAGAAAGCCACGGCUAACUACGUG
RNAcentral lists this ribosomal RNA (497 nucleotides) under uncultured bacterium. Its description in RNAcentral is "partial 16S ribosomal RNA". It matches the Rfam family "Bacterial small subunit ribosomal RNA", at positions 28 to 507 of the family's 1533-position model. The record is from RNAcentral.